Molecule: ribosomal RNA, 209 nt
Filed under: uncultured bacterium
Lineage: Bacteria
Description: partial 16S ribosomal RNA
Rfam family: Bacterial small subunit ribosomal RNA
Source: RNAcentral
UGCGUAGGUGGUUCUGCAUGUCGGGUGUGAAAUACCACGGCUUAACCGUGGAAGUGCAUUCGAAAACUGCAGAGCUAGAGUGCAGGAAGGGAGAGUGGAAUUCUUGGUGUAGCGGUGAAAUGCGUUGAUAUCAAGAAGAACACCGGUGGCGAAGGCGGCUCUCUGGAAUGCAACUGACACUGAGGCACGAAAGCUGGGGGGAGCAAACA